Molecule: transfer RNA, 74 nt
Filed under: Alosa alosa (allis shad)
Lineage: Eukaryota; Metazoa; Chordata; Actinopteri; Clupeiformes; Clupeidae
Description: tRNA-Ile
Rfam family: tRNA
About the family: Transfer RNA (tRNA) molecules are approximately 80 nucleotides in length. Their secondary structure includes four short double-helical elements and three loops (D, anti-codon, and T loops). Further hydrogen bonds mediate the characteristic L-shaped molecular structure. tRNAs have two regions of fundamental functional importance: the anti-codon, which is responsible for specific mRNA codon recognition, and the 3' end, to which the tRNAs corresponding amino acid is attached (by aminoacyl-tRNA synthetases). tRNAs cope with the degeneracy of the genetic code in two manners: having more than one tRNA (with a specific anti-codon) for a particular amino acid; and 'wobble' base-pairing, i.e. permitting non-standard base-pairing at the 3rd anti-codon position.
Source: RNAcentral
GCUCCAGUGGCGCAAUCGGUUAGCCCGCGGUACUUAUAAUGCCGAGGUUGUGAGUUCGAGCCUCACCUGGAGCA